Cydia pomonella (codling moth) is the source of this 3558-nucleotide long non-coding RNA. RefSeq lists it as uncharacterized. Lineage: Eukaryota; Metazoa; Arthropoda; Insecta; Lepidoptera; Tortricidae. The record is from RefSeq and is a predicted model, not a curated record. The transcript has 2 exons.
UUUUUUGGAGAUCAAUAUCAUCAUACCUGUGUGCUUCAUAUGCUUGUAAAACUCUUCCUAGGGGUGUAGAGCACUUUGCAAGGGAUUUGUACAAUUAUAUAUAUAAUCUACAUGUCAGGGUGAUUAUAAAGAAUUCCAGUGCUUUGUCGAUGUGAAACCUCAUAGACUGUUACACCCCGCACAGACAAGAUGGCUGUCUCUACUUCCAGUUGUAAAAAGGCUAUUGGAACAGCUUGCAGCUUUAAAGUUAUAUUUUCAAAGUAUAGUUUUGAAUGAUAGGCUACUUGCAGCUCAGAAAAUCCUUGAAAAAUGUAUGAAUCCAUCAACAGAGUUAUAUCUCAAUUUCUUGGAUUAUGUGUUGCCCUAUUUCCAUGAUAUUAACAAAGAAAUGCAAGCAGAAAGUCCUAAACUUUAUUUGUUAUAUGAACGGAUUUUUAUGAUAUACAAAACUAUCUUGGACUGCUUCAUUACACCAAAUUUGCUACAACUGACUAAAGAUGAGAAAAACAAGAGCUUGGAUUUAGAGACAAAAAUAUUAAAUGUGGAUUUCGAACUAAGAGAAAAGCAUCUACCUCUUGAUCAAGUAUACCUGGGUGGUAAUACUACUUCAUUACGAGUAUUAAUGAAAGAAGAUUUUGUGGGGAGGAUGACGGAUGACUGAGUUAGAACAUAAACAAUUCAAAGAAAAAUGCAUCCUGUUCUACGUUGAAAGCGUUAAACAAAUACGCCAACGAUUUAACUUCGAAGACAAAAAAAUAUUUAAGUCUAAAUUUCAUGAACCCGCAAAAUAUUAUGGAACAGAAUACCGUCCCUAGUAUUGCUCACUCAGGAGUUCUGUUUCCAGGUAAGUUUACACAAUUUUAUACCCCAAUGGUGGAGUAUUUUGUAAGGCAUGGUUGCAAACAGUACAUUCGCGGUAAACCAAUGAGGUUUGGCUUCAAGGUUUGGUGCUUGAAUAAACCGAGCGGUUACUUAGUAGACUUCGAAAUGUAUCAAGGAAAAAGUGUGAAUGAGAAUCCUGAGUACGACCAACUCUACGGCAAAGCUGCAGCUCCUCUAGUAAAGAUGAUCGAUGGAAUGCCUGAAAAUGUUCAGUCACUGCCGACGAGUUUUUAUUUUGAUAACCUGUUUACAGGAUUUCAACUACUGCAGCAUUUAAAAAGUCGGGGCUAUAAUGGAACUGAAACUGUGCGUGAAAACCGUCUUCCAAAAGAUAUACCUAUAACCGACGAAAAACAAAUGCAGAAAAAGGAUCGCGGUUUCUACGACUUUGCAAAGUGCUCUGAAGAUGACAUUAUUGUUGUUCGUUGGACGGAUAACUCGGUCGUGACUGCGAUGUCUACUGUCCAUGACGUAGCUCCUGUAUCUAACGUAGACAGAUACAGUGCAGCAGACAAGAAGAAGAUCAACGUAUCACGCCCAGCAAUAUUUACAGAGUACAAUCGACACAUGGGUGGCACAGAUCUGAUGGAUCAAAAUAUCAACACAUAUUACGUUCGGAUCAGAGGUAAAAAGUGGUGGCGGUCUAUAUUUACCUACUUUUGAGAUGCCUCUAUUUGUAAUGCUUGGGUGUUAUCAAGAAUAGCAGGAAAUGCAGCUGGUCAAUUGGACUUUCGUCGGCAAAUAACACAAACGUAUCUAACUAGAUAUCGAAACCUACCUCUUACUGGGGGACGUCCGCCAACACCUAAAUAUUCCCGAACUGACAGCCGUGUCAAUGACACCAUAAGGUACGAUGGUCAAAACCACCUUCUCAUUCCUUCUCAGAAGCGACGAAGAUGUGCGUACGAGAACUGUCAGGCUCGGUUGAGAUUGGAAUGCUCGAAAUGUGAUGUAGGAUAAGUGCUGCAUGCAACUACCAAUUUCAUGUAAAGUAUUUUUUGUAACGUCUCGGAAGCUGUUAUUAAAUAAAUAUAGUAAAACAUACGUACUGUAUGUUAUUAAGUUGCAAACGAAGAGGCUGAUUUAUUAAAUAAAUGAUAUUAACAUAUUUGCACUCAUAUUAAUUUCAUAGUAUAGUUGGUCAAGCAAAUCUUGUCAGUAGAAAAACGCGGCAAAUUUGAAAAAUCGCGGGCUAGCAACACUGUGUUCGAAUAAUUCCAAAAUCGCGUGUAAUCUGUGUUUUAUCUGUGGAAUGUGGAUCGUCCAUCUUGUUUGUUUACAUUCCGAAUCGGUGCUAAUUCAAGAGAAAUUUCUGCUCCCAGCAUUAAAAUAAAUAUCAAUAUAUUAAAUAAUAUUGUGCAUGACCAUAAGCAAAGUUAAGAUGCCUACAAUGUAAGUAAAAUCAUGCUCGUUGAUCUUAACCAUUAGAAAAUUUUUAGGGUUAUGUUAAUUACUGGAAGAUCCCGGAGAAUUUUUAAAAUAAUGUGCAGUUUUUUCUGUUUCAGGGUUAAAAGGCUUAAAUAAAGAUAAAACGUAUGCCUAAAUAUAUCCAAUAAGACCACGAAUUGUGCCCUCACAAAACCGCAACUGAUUCGAUUGUUCCCAAUAUCAACAGACGAAGUCCUCAAAUAUUUUCAAAGGAUUAAAACUCGCCCAAUAUAAGGCGUUCGUAAAAGUUUCUCUUCAUACAAAACUUACCUACGGCGGUUUACGUACAUACGUGUACAACGCAAACAAGACGAAAAAUAAACUUGUUAAUUAAAAAAACUAAAAAAAUUGGGACAAUAGUUUAGAUUAUUAUUGUACAAGUUGUCCGUUUGUUAAUCAUCACGAAAAUAUAUUAUUUAGGCUGAUUUGUUUCAUGCACUCAGCUAUUGCACAUGUAUACCUAUGGAAAAUCCUAGUUUAUACUUUCUGAAGUCAGUAUUCUACCUAUUUAAGAGAAGUUUUAAGUCGCUUUACCUGUUUGUUUCAUAAAUUAAAAUAAUUUAUUCAGUGUGCAUAAUUUUAGAAAAAUAUUUUAAUAUUUAAAUCAUACCUUUUAUCCAGAAACAAUAUAACUCCAUAUUACUCACAUGAGUGGAAGUUGGUAAGUUUCCAUUGUCAAGGUAUCUUUUAUUAAUAUUUUGAGUACCUGAAAUUGUAUCAGUUCCUGACAAGUCUUGAAUAGACUAAUGUGAAAGUUAAUAAAAUUUCUUAACAGCAUUCUCCUGAUAUCUAAAUGAUUUUUUUAAAUAUCUACAUAUAAAAUAUGAUCUAGCCGAUACAUGUAAAUAUCUAAUAUUUUUAGCCUGUAUAAAAACAGUCGUGUGAGCAAAACCUUACCAAGCUAGCAUGUAAGAGUGGUCUCAGAGAUAUUGGAAUAUCUCUGUACUAUAAAUUAGGCAAAUUGCUUUAGACUAAGUUUUAUGUGUAACUACUACUAUAAGAAUAAAUUUUGAAACUUGGAAUGGAAACUUUAAACUUGAAAUUACAAAUUUUCUAACAGAUCUGUUUUAUGCUUAAGAUGCAAUAAGUGACUAGGUACAAAGUAUUCUGAUGCUUGGUUGGAGUGGACCAGUAACAUUGGUAACUUAAUGAUAUUUUAUCAAUGAAUGGCCUGAAUUAAGUGUAAGUAAGCUAAAGUGACCCGUAUCUUAAUUGCCUUGAAAUUAAAUGUACACCAAAAUAUCUGCA